AAAAAAAAAAAGUAUCGAGUAACUGGAAACGCGUAUUAGCUUAAGAUCUUAUCCGAACCUUAAUUAAAAGGAGUAUCAAUUUCAAUUUUUUCCCCCCACAUUAAAGUCAAAGUGCUCCACAGUGUAACACCCAUUUUUCCACAAAGGGCCAAACUCUUAAGAAAAUCGGGACAGAGGUGAAAGUGAGAGUAAAACAAAGAUUAGCACAGAAAAAGAUGAAAGAUUCUUUGAAGUCAGGUAUGCAGAAGUGUUAACAUGGUAUCUGCACAGAGCAAUUAAACGCAAGAAAAUAUUUUCACAAGUUUUUUUGUUUGAAAGUUUCAGUACAGUACAUUAAUAGAAAACAAUGAAUCACUACAGUAAAGAGGAGUCAAGUAAAAAAUGUAAGAUGUAUAGCUGUUUGUAAUCAGAUACAUAUAUAUGAACACAUAUAAAAGAAAUGUAUUCAAGAAGCUAAUACCACACAUCAAAAGCACUUAGUAAUAUGAUGCGUUAUUUGGCCCAAAAAGUCUCCUGCUGUCACAGGGAAUCAUAACUUUUAACUGCUAAGGAUAACAUCAGAAAUAUAACUAAAAAAAAAAAACAA
Long non-coding RNA from Pezoporus occidentalis (night parrot), 586 nucleotides. RefSeq lists it as uncharacterized. The record is from RefSeq and is a predicted model, not a curated record. NCBI's taxonomy places the organism in Eukaryota, Metazoa, Chordata, Aves, Psittaciformes, Psittacidae. The transcript has 2 exons.